Fragaria vesca subsp. vesca is the source of this 835-nucleotide RNA transcript. RefSeq lists it as uncharacterized. Lineage: Eukaryota; Viridiplantae; Streptophyta; Magnoliopsida; Rosales; Rosaceae. The transcript is spliced from 3 exons. The record is from RefSeq and is a predicted model, not a curated record.
AUAUUCCUCGGUCUCGCGUUCUCUAUCAUGGAGGCGGAUACAAGGAUAGUGAUCGAUAUAUCAGUCUUCUACAACAGUCAUCUCUUUGUAUAAAUGCACGGUGGCAGUAACAGAGCGAAGUCGUCAGAACGUAAACUCCAUGGAGAGCACGUUGAACUUUUGGAUGAGGAGUUGCAGAGGAGGGGGACCUCUGAUCAUAUAUGCAUGGAGGAGUCUGCUGAGUUGGGAGUUUUGAGUGCUCAGGAACUGCAGAAGCAAAACUGGAGAAGAUCAAAUGUUUUUUCUGCAAAAAGUUUGAGCAAAUGACGAAACUUUGUGAAGGCUUGAGAAAGUGGAUGAUCAAAAAGGGGUUUAACAAGGUGGAGGCUCCAAGGAAGCAUGAAGAUUCAGUCGUGUCUGUGUUGGAAACUUCAUGGAGUGUCUAAAUUGCCAAUUUUGGUGACCAAACCUCAGUGGAAAAAAAGGGAAAUCUGGGAACCACCACUUAUUUAUCGAGAAAUAAUUAUAAGAAAUGGAGUAUCAAAUCCUUCUUCUGUAAAAGGAGAGGGGAUUGUAUGAAGAGAGACUGAUUGUUACAACAUUGGAACUUGGAAGGGUUACCAAUGCACAUUGCAAAUUCUUUGCUGCGGUUCUCACCAAUGCACAUGUGCACAGCAGGAAGUGUUGAGAUGUGAAGCAAACUCUACCAUGGUAUAAGAACAACAAUAUACCUUAAGGAUCUAUAUUAAUCUCUACAUUAAGGAUUACUCAAAUUCUACUCGAUAAUAGAGUUUCUGUUCCAAUUUAACUAUUCUACAUGUGUAAAUUUGUGUCUUGAUAAACGAGACAAUUUAUA